ACUUGAAUAGCUUAUAGUUAGAGCAUAACAUUGAAGAUGUUAAGGAGAUUGAAGGGUCUUUAAGUA
Molecule: transfer RNA, 66 nt
Filed under: Therea regularis
Lineage: Eukaryota; Metazoa; Arthropoda; Insecta; Blattodea; Corydiidae
Description: tRNA-Phe
Rfam family: tRNA
About the family: Transfer RNA (tRNA) molecules are approximately 80 nucleotides in length. Their secondary structure includes four short double-helical elements and three loops (D, anti-codon, and T loops).
Source: RNAcentral